Long non-coding RNA from Lucilia cuprina (Australian sheep blowfly), 1078 nucleotides. RefSeq lists it as uncharacterized. The record is from RefSeq and is a predicted model, not a curated record. The transcript has 4 exons. Lineage: Eukaryota; Metazoa; Arthropoda; Insecta; Diptera; Calliphoridae.
GGAUGCUGCAGAUUCUGGUGGAAUAUUGGAAUGUGGCUAAAGUUAGCUAUUGGGUGGCAACAACUACAACAACAACAGUAGAAAAUCAAAUGAGAGCAGUGAAGAUAAAUGAGAACAGAUAAGCAGAUAAAACGGUUCUGACAAGGACGGCUGGCUGCUGUGAGUGACAGGAUUCGUGACGACAGUUUGUUGCAGAAAUGGGUUUUCUGUCCGCCGGUAUUUCAGUCCGUCGGUAUUUCUGUCCGUCGGUAUUUCAGUCCGUCGGUAUUUCAGUCCGUUCGGAUAAUUCUGUUAAAUAUCAAACACCUUAUAAAAGAAAAUCUUUUAAAUAAUUUUUUUUUGUAUAUCAAUAUGUUUUUCAACAUAAGAUCAAACGCAAGUCAACCUAGGCUUGAGCUCAAACCUAUAACUCGUGCACGCUGGGAUUAAAUCCGGCCAACGGACUGAUUCGUAUAUCAAAACGAAAGAUAGCCUACCUUUACAUAUAAACAUAUAACUUGGUUUGUUUUACAUUUUUCUUUUUUUAUAUUAUUUAAAAGUUCUAGUCCCAUAUGUCGCGUUGUUCGAGUAAAGGGUAUUUACUACUAGGUCGAAAACCAGAUACUUGGGCACCACAGGAUAGCUGGUGCUGAUCUGUCAACAGAGUCCCACGAUGGAUGGUGUAGCUUUAAGUUUUGGCUUUUUACUUUUUUUACUUAGUUUUAGAUUUAGUUUUAUUUUAUACCUAGUUUUAAGUUUAAAUGAAAUUGUUUGGUGAGAAGAGGUAUAUAAAAUACAGCUAAAAAAUCAUUGAAUUCGUUUUGUGUGAAAGAGAGGGAAAUAGCCUUUUGCUCGUGACGUCUCUGUAUACCCUGUGUUACUACUAUUGAUGCUCCCGCAUUGCAGAAGAAAUUCUAUGCUAAACGUUCAAUAUUCUUUGUUAAACUACCAAAAAUUCAAAGGUGGAGGUGCCAAGUCAUCUCACAAUAAACAAAUUGUUAAUGAACAGAAGAAAAAGGUUUGUAAUAAUUAUGUAUACUAGUUUCAGCUGAAUCCUUUCUAUUUAUAUUCAAAAUUAUUAAGCCUAUUUUUGUAUAGU